UAACGUGUGGGCAACCUGCCCUAUACUGGGGAAUAAUCACUGGAAACGGUGACUAAUACCGCAUGUCAUUACGGAAGGGCAUCCUUCUGUAAGAAAAGGAGUAAUUCGGUAUAGGAUGGGCUCGCAUCUGAUUAGCUAGUUGGUGAGAUAACAGCCCACCAAGGCGACGAUCAGUAGCCGACCUGAGAGGGUGAUCGGCCACAUUGGGACUGAGACACGGCCCAA
RNAcentral lists this ribosomal RNA (225 nucleotides) under uncultured bacterium. Its description in RNAcentral is "partial 16S ribosomal RNA". It matches the Rfam family "Bacterial small subunit ribosomal RNA", at positions 111 to 334 of the family's 1533-position model. The record is from RNAcentral.